Molecule: ribosomal RNA, 459 nt
Filed under: uncultured bacterium
Lineage: Bacteria
Description: partial 16S ribosomal RNA
Rfam family: Bacterial small subunit ribosomal RNA
Source: RNAcentral
CCUACGGGUGGCAGCAGUGAGGAAUAUUGGUCAAUGGCCGGAAGGCUGAACCAGCCAAGCCGCGUGAAGGACGAAGGUGCCAAGCAUUGUAAACUUCUUUUGUCAAGGGACAAAAUCAGGCUCGAGAGCCUGACCGAGGGUACUUGAAGAAAAAGCAGCGGCCAACUCCGGGCCAGCAGCCGCGGUAAUACGGAGGAUGUGAGCGUUAUCGGGAUUUAUGGGGGUUAAAGGGUGCGUAGGUGGGCUGUUAAGUCAGCGGUAAAAGCCCGGGCCUGAACCCCGGCGAGCCGUUGAAACUGGCUGUCUUGAGAUGUCGAGAGGUAGGCGGAAUGCGCAGUGUAGCGGUGAAAUGCUUAGAUAUUGCGCAGAACUCCGAUUGCGAAGGCAGCAUACCGGCGGCGAUCUGACGCUGAGGCACGAAAGCGUGGGUAUCGAACAGGAUUAGAUACCCUUGUAGUC